This 363-nucleotide unclassified non-coding RNA is filed under the name uncultured bacterium. RNAcentral describes it as "contains 16S-23S intergenic spacer region". The record is from RNAcentral.
UCCCCGUUGCCGGGGCAGUCUAGCCUGAAAAAUACAACAGACUAUAAGGGUUGCGCUCGUUGAUGGACUUAACCAAACAUCUCACGACACGAGCUGACGACGGCCAUGCAACACCUGUCACUUGGUUCCCGAAGGCACACUCUGCUUUCGCAGUGCUUCCAAGGAUGUCAAACCUGGGUAAGGUUCUUCGCUUAUCGUCGAAUUAAACAACACGCUCCACCGCUUGUGCGGGUCCCCGUCAAUUCCUUUAUGUUUUAAGCUUGCGCUCGUACUCCACAGGCGGGAUGCUUAACGCGUUAGCUUCGCUACUACCAGGGUCGAUACUGAUAACAGCUAGCAUCCAUAGUUUACGGCGUGGACUAC